UACGUAGGUGGCAAGCGUUGUCCGGAAUUAUUGGGCGUAAAGGGCUCGCAGGCGGUUCCUUAAGUCUGAUGUGAAAGCCCCCGGCUCAACCGGGGAGGGUCAUUGGAAACUGGGGAACUUGAGUGCAGAAGAGGAGAGUGGAAUUCCACGUGUAGCGGUGAAAUGCGUAGAUAUGUGGAGGAACACCAGUGGCGAAGGCGACUCUCUGGUCUGUAACUGACGCUGAGGCGCGAAAGCGUGGGGAGCAAACAGG
RNAcentral lists this ribosomal RNA (253 nucleotides) under uncultured bacterium. RNAcentral describes it as "partial 16S ribosomal RNA". It matches the Rfam family "Bacterial small subunit ribosomal RNA", at positions 524 to 776 of the family's 1533-position model. The record is from RNAcentral.